UCAAGAAGUCCAAAAGUACCCAAUCUGAAACCAAUGCUCUCUUGGUCAGCACCGCAGACCUCAAGCCAAUGCCCUGGAGGUCCGCACCGCAACACCUCCCGACAGUACCACUGCCGCUCUAACAUGCAUAUAACCCCUCUAGGGCUCACGGGUUGUCACCAUUCAACCACUUUUCCGGAAAAGAACACUCCUUGCGGUGGAUCAGACCGCCAGUGUUCGUGAAAUGCGACGAGUAUCGGGCGAUCAAUGCAAUAUGGUCAAAGAACAACCGUCGGCAACCAGCCGACAAUCCUGCCCCCCAGGGCCUAUCGAUCGCAUAGGUCAUCAACUGUAAAGAAGCACAAGAACCGACCACUCAGGUCAACUAGGAUGGGACAACAUCGACAUCCUCUCAAACAUAUGCAAAUACUGCUCAAUGAACCACAAGGACUGACCACUCAGAUCAACUAGGAUAUGAAGCUCGACCAAUCACGUCACAAGUACAGGAUAUGAAACUCGACCAAUCCUGUCACAAGUAUAGGAUAUGAAACUCGACCAAUCAUGUCACAAGUAUAGGAUAUGAAACUCAACCAAUCAUGUCACAAGUAUAGGAUAUGAAACUCGACCAAUCAUGUCACAAGUAUAGGAUAUGAGUAAAGUAUAAUCAUCCGUCGGCAACUAACCGACAAUCCCACCCCUUAGGGUAUACCGACCUCAACGGUCAUCAGACAACAAAGGUCGAGGAACUCACCGAAUAGGUCACAAAUACUGAAUACUAGAAUUGACCGACUAGAUCGCUAAUCUCACAGAUAAUCACAGAAUCGCUCUACUAUAAAUAUGAAAUAGGGUAUGCAGAAUAGCUAAGUAGGGCAACAAGGAAAUUUGGUAUCACAUACAGAUAGACUAUACUCCUACACAUGAUACUAAGCAUGGAAACAUCUGAGUAGAGUAUAAUCAAACAACGUGGGUGUAAUGUAAACAAUAGAGGUGCAAAGCUCAACAUAUAAUAUAAGCAUGAAUAAUAACAAAAGAGCAAGGGUAAGAAACCAUCACCGAGCGUGCACCACUGUACCCACGUCGGAUCGAAGUACCCACCUGUACAACUGUCGCGCCUGUCUCCUGACU
This 1104-nucleotide long non-coding RNA is filed under the name Ananas comosus (pineapple). RNAcentral describes it as "long non-coding RNA (ACOM_LNC022403)". The record is from RNAcentral. Lineage: Eukaryota; Viridiplantae; Streptophyta; Magnoliopsida; Poales; Bromeliaceae.